Molecule: non-coding RNA, 219 nt
Organism: Pelobates cultripes (western spadefoot toad)
Lineage: Eukaryota; Metazoa; Chordata; Amphibia; Anura; Pelobatidae
Source: the annotation of a GenBank genome assembly
AGUGAGUGCUGGAUGAUGUGGGGGGGGGGGUAAGCAUUUUCUUACUUUAUGUGUCUAUAUUUUUUUUUUAUUUUAUUCCCCCCUCCCUGCUUCUUACCUUGUCAGGGAGGGGGGAGAUCGCCUGGUGGUAUGCUGGAGGGAGCCAGCCGCUGCACAGAGGGGCCAUCACACGCUGUGUUCCCUCUCCAGCUCUAACUCUCGCGAGACUCGCCUGUGCGG